GAUUAUUCUUUUAUAUGAUUGACUCAAAGUUUGCUGAGGAACAAGUCCAGGCAAGUCCUGGGCAAAGGCAGAGAAAUCUUUUGUCUUGAGGACACUGAUGGACAGGUCCUGGCUAAGGAUUGUGAAAUCCUCUAAGGAGCACAGAUGGACAAGGCCAGGGGCAACGAGAGAGAGAUAAGCUGCUGCUAAUGGCCGGGAAACGGUCUUUUUGUGUGGACUUAUCUCGAGGAAGAUGGCCAUCUCAGGAGCACAGAUGGACAAGGCCAGGG
Molecule: long non-coding RNA, 269 nt
Filed under: Gallus gallus (chicken)
Lineage: Eukaryota; Metazoa; Chordata; Aves; Galliformes; Phasianidae
Description: lncRNA (ENSGALG00010000830.1)
Source: RNAcentral